AACACAUUAGCUCAGUCUGGUAGAGCGUUCAUGUAAAGCGUGAAAGUGCGAGGGUUCAAAUCCCUUAUGUGUUA
RNAcentral lists this transfer RNA (74 nucleotides) under Limosilactobacillus reuteri. RNAcentral's name for it is "Lactobacillus reuteri tRNA-Leu". It matches the Rfam family "tRNA". Rfam says of the family: Transfer RNA (tRNA) molecules are approximately 80 nucleotides in length. Their secondary structure includes four short double-helical elements and three loops (D, anti-codon, and T loops). Further hydrogen bonds mediate the characteristic L-shaped molecular structure. tRNAs have two regions of fundamental functional importance: the anti-codon, which is responsible for specific mRNA codon recognition, and the 3' end, to which the tRNAs corresponding amino acid is attached (by aminoacyl-tRNA synthetases). tRNAs cope with the degeneracy of the genetic code in two manners: having more than one tRNA (with a specific anti-codon) for a particular amino acid; and 'wobble' base-pairing, i.e. permitting non-standard base-pairing at the 3rd anti-codon position. Lineage: Bacteria; Bacillati; Bacillota; Bacilli; Lactobacillales; Lactobacillaceae. The record is from RNAcentral.